Molecule: ribosomal RNA, 1350 nt
Filed under: uncultured bacterium
Lineage: Bacteria
Description: partial 16S ribosomal RNA
Rfam family: Bacterial small subunit ribosomal RNA
Source: RNAcentral
GAUGAACGCUAGCGGAAGGCCUAACACAUGCAAGUCGAGCGGUAUUUGGUAGCUUGCUACUAGAGAGAGCGGCGUACGGGUGCGUAACAUGUGUGCAACCUACCCUUAUCAAGGGGAUAGCCAUUCGAAAGGAUGAUUAAUACCCUAUAAUAUAUCAGGUGGCGUCAUUUGAUAUUGAAAGCUACGGUGGAUAAGGAUGGGCACGCACAAGAUUAGCUAGUUGGUAAGGUAACGGCUUACCAAGGCGAUGAUCUUUAGGGGUCCUGAGAGGGAGAUCCCCCACACUGGGACUGAGACACGGCCCAGACUCCUACGGGAGGCAGCAGUGAGGAAUAUUGGACAAUGGGUGGGAGCCUGAUCCAGCCAUUCCGCGUGCAGGAAGAAGGUCUUAUGGAUUGUAAACUGCUUUUAUAUAGGGAUAAACCUACUCUCGAGAGGGUAGCUGAAGGUACUAUAUGAAUAAGCACCGGCUAACUCCGUGCCAGCAGCCGCGGUAAUACGGGGGGUGCAAGCGUUAUCCGGACUUAUUGGGUUUAAAGGGUCCGUAGGCGGGUUAUUAAGUCAGUGGUGAAAUCUCAUAGCUCAACUAUGAAACUGCCAUUGAUACUGAUAGUCUUGAGUGUAUUUGAAGUAGCUGGAAUAAGUAGUGUAGCGGUGAAAUGCAUAGAUAUUACUUAGAACACCAAUAGCGAAGGCAGGUUACUGAGAUAUUACUGACGCUGAGGGACGAGAGCGUAGGGAGCGAACAGGAUUAGAUACCCUGGUAGUCUACGCUGUAAACGAUGCUAACUCGUUUUUGGUAUUUAGGUAUCAGACACUAAGCGAAAGUGAUAAGUUAGCCACCUGGGGAGUACGCUCGCAAGAGUGAAACUCAAAGGAAUUGACGGGGGCCCGCACAAGCGGUGGAUUAUGUGGUUUAAUUCGAUGAUACGCGAGGAACCUUACCAAGACUUAAAUGGGAAUUGACCGCUAUAGAGAUAUGGGUUUCUUCGGACCAUUUUCAAGGUGCUGCAUGGUUGUCGUCAGCUCCUGCCGUGGAGGGUUAGGGUUAGUCCUGCAACCAGCCCAACCCUUGGCACUAGUUUGCCAUCAUAAGUUGGGGACCUCUAGUGAGACGCCUACGCAAGUAUAGAGGAAGGUGGGGAUGACUUCUAAACAUUUCGGGCCUUACGUCUUGGGCCCCCCCGUUAAUCCAGGGGGGAUACAAAGGGCACCCUUCCCCGCGAGUGGAUGCACAACUUCAAAAUCCGUUUUUCACCUCGGAUUGGAAUUUGCCAACCCGCCUCUAUUAAACUUGGAAACCUCUAGUAGUCGCGGAUUUAGCCUGAACGCGUUAAUUACUUUUCCUGG